This 484-nucleotide ribosomal RNA is filed under the name uncultured bacterium. RNAcentral describes it as "partial 16S ribosomal RNA". It matches the Rfam family "Bacterial small subunit ribosomal RNA", at positions 30 to 507 of the family's 1533-position model. The record is from RNAcentral.
AUUGAACGCUGGCGGCAGGCCUAACACAUGCAAGUCGAGCGGAUGAAGGGAGCUUGCUCCUGGAUUCAGCGGCGGACGGGUGAGUAAUGCCUAGGAAUCUGCCUGGUAGUGGGGGAUAACGUCCGGAAACGGGCGCUAAUACCGCAUACGUCCUGAGGGAGAAAGUGGGGGAUCUUCGGACCUCACGCUAUCAGAUGAGCCUAGGUCGGAUUAGCUAGUUGGUGGGGUAAAGGCCUACCAAGGCGACGAUCCGUAACUGGUCUGAGAGGAUGAUCAGUCACACUGGAACUGAGACACGGUCCAGACUCCUACGGGAGGCAGCAGUGGGGAAUAUUGGACGAUGGGCGAAAGCCUGAUACAGCCAUGCCGAGUGUGUGAAGAAGGUCUUCGGAUUGUAAAGCACUUUAAGUUGGGAAGAAGGGCAGUAAGUUAAUACCUGGCUGUUUUGACGUUACCAACAGAAUAAGCACCGGCUAACUUCGUG